Molecule: transfer RNA, 65 nt
Filed under: Thaumetopoea aff. pityocampa ENA
Lineage: Eukaryota; Metazoa; Arthropoda; Insecta; Lepidoptera; Notodontidae
Description: transfer RNA-His
Source: RNAcentral
AUUUAAAUAAUUUAAUUAAAAUAUUGAUUUGUGGGGUCAAAAAUAUGAAUAGCUCAUUUUAAGUU